Molecule: ribosomal RNA, 468 nt
Filed under: uncultured bacterium
Lineage: Bacteria
Description: partial 16S ribosomal RNA
Rfam family: Bacterial small subunit ribosomal RNA
Source: RNAcentral
GACGAACGCUGGCGGCGUGCUUAACACAUGCAAGUCGAACGGAAAGGCCCUGCUUUUGUGGGGUGCUCGAGUGGCGAACGGGUGAGUAACACGUGAGUAACCUGCCCUUGACUUUGGGAUAACUUCAGGAAACUGGGGCUAAUACCGGAUAGGAGCUCCUGCUGCAUGGUGGGGGUUGGAAAGUUUCGGCGGUUGGGGAUGGACUCGCGGCUUAUCAGCUUGUUGGUGGGGUAGUGGCUUACCAAGGCUUUGACGGGUAGCCGGCCUGAGAGGGUGACCGGCCUCAUUGGGACUGAGAUACGGCCCAGACGCCUACGGGAGGCAGCAGGGGGGAAUAUUGCACAAUGGGCGGAAGCCUGAUGCAGCAACGCCGCGUGCGGGAUGACGGCCUUCGGGUUGUAAACCGCUUUCGCCUGUGACGAAGCGUGAGUGACGGUAAUGGGUAAAGAAGCACCGGCUAACUACGUG